This 253-nucleotide ribosomal RNA is filed under the name uncultured microorganism. Its description in RNAcentral is "partial 16S ribosomal RNA". It matches the Rfam family "Bacterial small subunit ribosomal RNA", at positions 524 to 776 of the family's 1533-position model. The record is from RNAcentral.
UACGUAGGGUGCGAGCGUUAAUCGGAAUUACUGGGCGUAAAGCGCGCGUAGGUGGUUUGGUAAGCGAGAUGUGAAAGCCCCGGGCUCAACCUGGGAACCGCAUUUCGAACUGGCAAACUAGAGUCUUGUAGAGGGGGGUAGAAUUCCAGGUGUAGCGGUGAAAUGCGUAGAGAUCUGGAGGAAUACCGGUGGCGAAGGCGGCCCCCUGGACAAAGACUGACGCUCAGGCACGAAAGCGUGGGGAGCAAACAGG